This 348-nucleotide long non-coding RNA is filed under the name Zonotrichia albicollis (white-throated sparrow). RNAcentral describes it as "lncRNA (ENSZALG00000005700.1)". The record is from RNAcentral. Lineage: Eukaryota; Metazoa; Chordata; Aves; Passeriformes; Passerellidae.
CAAGACUUUACUGAUAUGCAAGUUAUGGCCUUGCCUAUGCUUCUCUCCAGCUGGAUCUGCUAAUGGUCCAGAUAAAAAUCCUGCUACUCCCUCUGUGAUAUGAGAGGAGUCCCAAAGCAUAAUCUCCAGUGCAGUCUCAUGGACAUUGCUUUUGACAUCAUCAUCAAGAUCCUGGACUGUUUCUAAGAGUUUUUGCCACAGUGGUGCACAGAAGUGGGAUGGAAACAAAGUACAGAGUCAAUGCCCACCAAAUCUUGGUGGUUGAGGAACUGCUGAACACCUUGAUGUGAGUAACUUGUCUGAGUCACAGGCAGGACACUGGUGCUGGGGAACUCAAGCCUGACAGCA